UCGACCUCACAUCAGGCGAGACAACCCCCUGAA
This 33-nucleotide ribosomal RNA is filed under the name Ixodes persulcatus (taiga tick). Its description in RNAcentral is "partial 28S rRNA". The record is from RNAcentral. Lineage: Eukaryota; Metazoa; Arthropoda; Arachnida; Ixodida; Ixodidae.